GAUUCACCACAAGAAUAUAAUAAGCAACAUAGAAC
Molecule: non-coding RNA, 35 nt
Filed under: Trypanosoma vivax
Lineage: Eukaryota; Euglenozoa; Kinetoplastea; Trypanosomatida; Trypanosomatidae
Source: RNAcentral